This 258-nucleotide unclassified non-coding RNA is filed under the name plant metagenome. RNAcentral's name for it is "partial contains small subunit ribosomal RNA, internal transcribed spacer 1, and 5.8S ribosomal RNA". The stretch from base 1 to 54 matches the Rfam family "Eukaryotic small subunit ribosomal RNA", at positions 1778 to 1831 of the family's 1831-position model. The record is from RNAcentral.
GGAAGUAAAAGUCGUAACAGGGUUUCCGUAGGUGAACCUGCGGAAGGAUCAUUACCGAGUGAGGGCCCUCUGGGUCCAACCUCCCACCCGUGUUUAUCGUACCUUGUUGCUUCGGCGGGCCCGCCUCACGGCCGCCGGGGGGCACCCGCCCCCGGGCCCGCGCCCGCCGAAGACACCAUUGAACGCUGUCUGAAGAUUGCAGUCUGAGCAUCUUAGCUAAAUCAGUUAAAACUUUCAACAACGGAUCUCUUGGUUCCG